AACGAACGCUGGCGGCAUGCCUAUCACAUGCGAGUCGAACGAGACCUUCGGGUCUAGUGGCGCACGGGUGCGUAACGCGUGGGAACCUGCCCUUAGGUUCGGAAUAACUCCCCGAAAGGGGUGCUAAUACCGGAUAAUGUCUUCGGACCAAAGAUUUAUCGCCUUUGGAUGGGCCCGCGUUGGAUUAGCUAGUUGGUAGGGUAAAAGCCUACCAAGGCGACGAUCCAUAGCUGGUCUGAGAGGAUGAUCAGCCACACUGGGACUGAGACACGGCCCAGACUCCUACGGGAGGCAGCAGUGGGGAAUAUUGGACAAUGGGCGAAAGCCUGAUCCAGCAAUGCCGCGUGAGUGAUGAAGGCCUUAGGGUUGUAAAGCUCUUUUACCCGGGAUGAUAAUGACAGUACCGGGAGAAUAAGCUCCGGCUAACUCCGUG
Molecule: ribosomal RNA, 433 nt
Filed under: uncultured bacterium
Lineage: Bacteria
Description: partial 16S ribosomal RNA
Rfam family: Bacterial small subunit ribosomal RNA
Source: RNAcentral